Molecule: ribosomal RNA, 253 nt
Filed under: uncultured bacterium
Lineage: Bacteria
Description: partial 16S ribosomal RNA
Rfam family: Bacterial small subunit ribosomal RNA
Source: RNAcentral
UACAGAGGUCUCAAGCGUUGUUCGGAUUCAUUGGGCGUAAAGGGUGCGUAGGCGGCGCGGUAAGUCGGAUGUGAAAUCUCGGAGCUUAACUUCGAAACUGCAUUCGAUACUGCCGUGCUUGAGGACUGGAGAGGAGACUGGAAUUUACGGUGUAGCGGUGAAAUGCGUAGAUAUCGUAAGGAAGACCAGUGGCGAAGGCGGGUCUCUGGACAGUUCCUGACGCUGAGGCGCGAAAGCUAGGGGAGCAAACGGG